AAAGCUUCCUUCUGUGCAAAAAUAAAUCAAAAUAUAUGAGUUUGAAUGGGAAUAAGCCUCGUCCAAUGUGGUAAGAGCUGUUGUGUAAUGGCCUGUCCCUUUCCUCUCUCUGAAGGUACCAACCCUACGCAUCCCACUGGCCUGGAGUAACGUUUGGAGCAGCCUGGCAGUGCAAUCCUUUUAGUAGCUUCCAAGGAUUUUUGGGAUCAUGGGAUACAUGGACAUACAGACCCAUGAAGCCCUCUGGAGAAUGCUGGCUGUGGAUAAAAGCAUCUUCAAGUUCUUACCAUCUCUUUACCCUGUUUUUUCCUGGAUCACCUUGUGUCAUUUGGGAAGGAAGUCUCUCUGUCCUGAGGAUUAUAGUGUACCAGUCACUUAGUGGAAUACCUCCCCAGUCAUCUUCUCGAGAUGGAGCCAUUGCUUUACCAAGCUGGAAGAUAUCUUUUCUUCUCCCAGAGCCUUUCCAGUGCAGCAGCACUCCUGUCCAGCAGUAUCAAAGCCAGGAGGUUGGAUUAGAGACCCGAGGUGCCAGCAGCAAAAAGGGGACCUGAGUAUGUGCAAUAAAAAAACCUUAUAUAUAUAUUUAUAAAGAUUA
Molecule: long non-coding RNA, 595 nt
Filed under: Manacus vitellinus (golden-collared manakin)
Lineage: Eukaryota; Metazoa; Chordata; Aves; Passeriformes; Pipridae
Description: lncRNA (ENSMVIG00005012357.1)
Source: RNAcentral